GACGUAGGGCGCGAGCGUUGUCCGGAUUUAUUGGGCGUAAAGAGCUCGUAGGCGGCUGCUCAAGUCGAAUGUGAAAACUCGAGGCUCAACCUCGAGCCUGCAUUCGAUACUGGGCGGCUAGAGUCUGGUAGGGGGAUCUGGAAUUCCUGGUGUAGCGGUGGAAUGCGCAGAUAUCAGGAGGAACACCGGUGGCGAAGGCGGUUCUCUGGGCCUUACCUGACGCUGAGGAGCGAAAGCGUGGGGAGCGAACAGG
RNAcentral lists this ribosomal RNA (253 nucleotides) under uncultured bacterium. Its description in RNAcentral is "partial 16S ribosomal RNA". It matches the Rfam family "Bacterial small subunit ribosomal RNA", at positions 524 to 776 of the family's 1533-position model. The record is from RNAcentral.